Molecule: unclassified non-coding RNA, 1093 nt
Filed under: Hevea brasiliensis (rubber tree)
Lineage: Eukaryota; Viridiplantae; Streptophyta; Magnoliopsida; Malpighiales; Euphorbiaceae
Source: RNAcentral
AUUUCAAGAUUCUUACUUCUCAAAUUGCAGAGACUGUAAAUCCAAGAAUGCAGUUUGCAGCUUCAAUUCUUCAAACCCAAAAAAGUGAUUCAUCUAUUUUUAGCCUAAAUCUCGCUUUUCACCUCCUUGGAUUCACGAAGAUUAUUCAAAUCGAAUCGCCAUUUCAUGUUCAGUCUUCACAAUAUUGUGCUUAUUAUUCAUCAUUUUGCUUGUUGCAGCGACUACAAAUCUAGGUGCUUGAGAUCAUUAGCUAUUGAAAAAGACCCGACAACCUUAUUCCUUCCCCACCACCACUCUGUUAAUCUAUUUCCCCUUGUAUCACCUAUAAGGAGCUGGAAUCCUCCACCAACUGCUUCAACCUAAAGCCCAAAAUUGAUGAUGGUAGUUUCGCAUCUGUGUUCUUGGGCCAUCUCCAUGAUGGUCGAAUCAUGUCUAUUAAUUAAAUACCUGCAUAAACACACCAUAUCGCCACUAGUGGUAGAGCAAUUCUCAACAAUAUGUGCACUUUUAUGGGUUGCUCAAUAAAUCUGAACAGAUAGUGCCCAACAAAGCUAAGGGUGGGUGAUAGUGAUGUGCACAAAAGUGCAUGUUAGGCCUUUGGGAGCCGGAAAUAUAUUGUAGCUACGUGUCUAACAUUCCCACAAUGUGUAGCCUAUUGAUUUAUUCAGACAUGUUUAAGGCUGCAUGUCCUGGAUGUUUAAGCCAAUGGUGCAGAUGCCUCGAUCGAGUUCUUGAAAUUCAACUUCUUAGUUUUGUUGUUGAUUAUUUUUUGUUUAAAGGGUUUGGAUUAUUUGAUGAACAGAGAGAUAGAGAGCAUGUUAAUGAAUAGAAAGAUAGAGAGAGAGAAGGGAAGGAGAUGACAUGAGAGAGAAAUUGAAUGUUAAAGCCACGUAUCAAGAGGGAGAAGAAUUUUUUAUUUUGUUAAAGCCAACCUAGCAUAUCCACGUUAACUUUUGGCCAGAGUCUCCAUUAGAAACAGAUCAAAGGGAAUUAUGUUAUAUCAAAUUAAAGUUAUAGUACUUUUGUGAUAUAAAUUGGAGUAAUUAUUGAUAAACCAAUUUUAUAUAGGUAUUUUAGGGUAAUUUUACAUCCA